AUGUAUUAUGUAUGUACGUGUAUACGUAUGUGUAGGGCUGUGUGUAUGUUUGUGUGUGUGUGUGUUUUUUUAAGGAAUGAAGUAUUUGUUGAACAGUUGUCAACUAACACUUACUUUUUACAUUAUUCAUUAGAAUGCUUCUUUUGCAUUAUUUACCAUUCCAGUGUAUUGCCUCCAGUGCUUGCUCAAUUACUCAGUCCUGUUUGUGAUCUGGUGGACUGUAGCCUUCCAGGUUCCCCUGUCCAUGAAGUUUUUUUCAGUCACCCACUGGAAGAAGACGGAACCAAGUUUGGUUUGGAUGUUGAGACAGAUGAAGCCAUGUGCUAAAGUGCUUUGAGAAGGUUAACUGCUGAAGCUUUCUAGUCGGAGCAGGGUAGACUUGCAUGCUGUUGGAAAGAAAAGCUUGACGAACAUGGAAUGGUGACUCUUGGAGUGUUAAGAUGAUUACUGGAUGGCAAGGAGGGGAGGGUUCCUGCUUUGGUGAACUACUAGUUGCUAUCAAAGGAAAGGGGCCUUAGUCUUUUUUUCUCAGCCUGCCCGGAGAGGCAGCACAGGAAGCGGUUGUUUUUAAAGUCUAAAGGAAUCAGUAGUCAAACAUCAAAAAACCACAGUGAGACUUUAUAUUCUUAAACACUGAAUGUUUACACAUGCCAUGAAUUUAUAACAUUCCUUUAUGGUACACAUAUGUUCCAUUGUUCAUAUGGUUUUGAAGACGGUAGUAGCUUACUAUUUAUCUAUUUUACUAAACAAAUUACUAAUUAUGAUCUAUUGCCUAAGACAUUUUUACACUAGCCUAAUAAACAUUAAUAUUUAGACUUAUUUAUUAGGUAAUAAAUAGAAGAAGUUCAUUUUCCAGAGGAUAUUAAAGUGUUGAUGUCACAUUAUAGAAUUAAGUAAUAUGGCUCCAUGGUUCAUUGUCAGAUCUAGUGGAAUUUCUUUAGUUUUUUUUGUUUACAAUAUUGUGAUUUUUUUUUUUUUUUUACCGUACAUCAGCAUGAAUCGGCCAUAGGCAUACAUGUGUCCCCUCCCUCCUGAACCCACCUCCCUCCCCACCCCAUCCCUCCAGGUCUUUACAGAGCAGUGGCUCUGGAUGCCGUGUGUCAUUCAUCAAACUCCCACUGGCUAUCUAUGUUACAUAGGGUAAUAUAUGUUUCAAUGCUAUUCUUGCCAAUCAUUCCAUCGUAUUUCUUUUGUUUUUUUUUUUUUAAUAGUUUUUCCUUGAAAGUGAAAGUUGCAUCAGACUCUUUGCAACCCCAUGGACUAUACAGUCCAAGAAAUUCUCCAGGCCACAAUACUGGAAUGGGUAGCCUUUCCUUUCUCAAGGGGAUCUUCCCAACGCAGGGAUCAAACCCAGGUCUCCUGCAUUUGCAGGCAGAUUCUUGACCAGCUGAGCCACCAGGGAAGCCCAAGAGUACUGGAAUCGGUAGCCUAUCCCUCCCCCUGCAGACCUUCCUGAUUCUGGAAUCGAACCAGGGUCUCCUGCAUUCCUGGUGGAUUCUUUACCAACUGAGCUAUCAGGGAAGCCCAGUUUUUGCUUUGUGUUACUUUUUCUAUACACAUGUGAUGCAGAUUUAAUGUUUAAUUUACAUUUCUUCCAUGCCUUAACACUAACAAAUAUAUAGUUAUGGGUUAUUUUGAGACUUUUGUAACACGAAAAUGCACAUAAGACAAUGACAAGGUGUAAGGCAAGAUUGGAGAAAAAGUGAGCCAGGCAGAGAAAGAUUUGUUAUAGGAAGAAAAAGUGUCUGGCUUUAGAGAGAAGCCAGUGUUCUCCCUUUACAGCCAACCCUUCUUAUACCCUAUUGAUGGGAAGCUGUGCCCUGCAGGGAGAGGGCAUUAGUUUUAUCUUUAGCCCGCAGCUGGGGUCUUGUGAUCACAUAGUCUGAGGAGUCUCACAGUCAGGUGGUCACGUAGUCUUGAGAAACUGGCCCAGCAGAGCAAAACAGGAUCCCACCAGGGCAAAGUGGUCACUGGGCUUCAUCCGUUGUUUGUCAGGUCACCACAAUGGGCAAUUUUUCAACAAUACGCUCUGAGUCCCUUGUGGACCCUAACACAAGGGACAUAGUAGGUGCCCUAUAAAUAUGAAGAAAGACAGCUCCUUUAGUAGGACUUGAGUUCACUCAGUUUAUACACAUAGAAAUAUUUAUAAAUAGGGGUACUCUUUCUGUCCCCUUCUGAUGCCUAUGUCAGAAGCUUUCUCUAUCUCUUUUAUACUUUAAUAAAACUUUAUUACACAAAAGCUCUGAGCGAUCAAGCCUUGUCUCUGGCCCCAGAUUGAAUUCUUCUCCUCUGGGGGCCAAGAAUCCCGGUGUCUUCGCGUGAUUCAAUGACAACCUUUCAUCUUGGGGGCUCAUCCGGGAUCCUUCAGGACAAGGUAAGGAUGCUUGGAGCUUUAGUUCUUUGUUCUCUUAGCGAAUGUGUUUUCUGCUGUGCUUUACUAACUCUACGGUGUGCUUGUGUGAAUGAAUGGCAUGCCCUGCGUGAAGCAAGUAAGGAGCCCUGCUCUGUGGUUCCACGGUGAUCUCAAACGGCUUAUGGCAGAAACCUGUCGGGGCAUUAUACCGACCUGCCAAUGCCAAGAGGCACCCAAUGUCUCCUUCGGGAACCGAACAGAAAUGGGCAAAGCGUGUGGACCGAACUCUCCUUUCUUGGUCAAACUUUUCGGUCUCUUUGACCAUUUCAUAACUCCUUGGGAAUUAGAAGUACUAACCUAAUCUAUCGGAUCAUAGACUUUCAAGGGACUUUUGAUCUAUACUGUUAUUGUGUACUGUGGCUUAGGUCCCAAACUUGAAUUGGUAGUCAAGAAAGUGCCUAGCCUCGCUAGGAAUCGAAAGUUCGGAAGCUAGAUGGAGCUCUAGCUCCCAAAACAUCUCUGAGGUUAAAGGUUACUCAAAUUGGGACUGCAAUGGGUUUUUUUCUUUGAUAAUGCCAGCUCUUAGUAGAUCAGAGGAGGCUGUUAUACUGGUGUGGUGAUGCUUGGAAAGAACAUCUCAGUUUUAUGUUCGCGUCAGUCUUAUUGUGGUCAGGAAAUACUCAGGGUCGUGCACAGGCACUCAGGUGACAAAUGUUUUCCCACAGCGGUCUUAGCUUGGGAGGCAUUCCGGAAGGUUACUCUGAUUCACCCCGGGUGACAUCAGAGGCAAGCAAGGUUAAGGGUGAAGAGCUGGACGUCAAGUAGGGAUGCUAUCAAGUCUACCCUGGUACAUCCCACCCCAU
Bos grunniens (domestic yak) is the source of this 3216-nucleotide long non-coding RNA. The record is from Ensembl. NCBI's taxonomy places the organism in Eukaryota, Metazoa, Chordata, Mammalia, Artiodactyla, Bovidae.